AAACGCAUAUUACUCCGAGCUUGUUGCGCCUACGUUAAUUUUUAAUAUGGCGGCAAGCCUGUUAGCAUGAAUGAUUCGUGCUACGCCGGAUACACUGGAAACGGUUUAUCCGCUCGUGCUUAGAAAGGUGUCAGAAUGCAGCAAA
RNAcentral lists this non-coding RNA (145 nucleotides) under Chelonobacter oris. RNAcentral describes it as "MoCo sequence". It matches the Rfam family "Molybdenum/Tungsten riboswitch aptamer (Moco RNA motif)". The record is from RNAcentral. Lineage: Bacteria; Pseudomonadati; Pseudomonadota; Gammaproteobacteria; Pasteurellales; Pasteurellaceae.